This is a long non-coding RNA of Coffea eugenioides, 1239 nucleotides long. RefSeq lists it as uncharacterized. The transcript is spliced from 2 exons. The record is from RefSeq and is a predicted model, not a curated record. Lineage: Eukaryota; Viridiplantae; Streptophyta; Magnoliopsida; Gentianales; Rubiaceae.
AGGGCUCCGGAUGGUGGUGGUUGUGAUGAUGAUGGUGGAGAAUAUACAGGAAGUGGUAUGGUUGAAAUGUUUCCAAUUUAGGGAAGUGUUAGUGAGAUUGAAACUUAUGAACGUAUGAGGAACCAUCCUGAGCAUGCUUUGCUAUUCCAGAAAAUAUCAUAUAGAAGUGUCUUAUUUUGAUCAUAAAAUCUCCACAUAAAUCUCUUCCUAGACUUCUUGAUUUGAAACCAAAGUGCUGUUACUAAAACUCAGAUGAAGCUGGAAAAAAUUUGAACUGCCGGGACUAUUUUUUGAUUAACAAGUAAUAACAUUAAUUAGCUUUUCAUUAAGUUGAAGCCCACAAUAUACUUACAUAAAUGAACAUCUUUCAGUAGAUCAAAUGUGAGUUAUCACAUGUUGCUGGAGGGUAGUUUUGCAUGGAAAGUCCAAUAAAAACAAGAGCAAAGUGAUCGUUUCUGAGAAGAAGAAUUCUAGAUAGUAUUUCUUGAAUCUUUGGUCCUCUGUAACUUCUUGUUUUCAUUAAAUUCGCUGUUCUUUUUAUUCUUGACGUAAUGGGGAUAAGGCGGAGCAGCUUCCGAAUUCCAACACUAAAAGCCAUACGAUAUUCCUCAGAUUGUAGUGGAUCCAGUUUGUUAAUAAUGCUCGAGUUUCUUGUCUGACUUCCAGUGGAUAUUACAGAAUACGUCCACCACAGAAUUGAGGGGAAGGUUCUGCUUAUCUCAAUUGAUUAGAUGAAAGGAAUUAUACGCAGGUGGAAGAUAGAGGUGGGAAAGUUGUAAACUGGUUGGUGUGCUGUUUUGAUACUCGAUGGGAAGGAAUUGAGGGGAAGAAUAUAUUAAAAUGAGCCUCCCUUCAAUCUUUUCCAAACCAAGAUCAACACCAAAUUCUAGUUACAUCAAAACUUCUACAAGAAAAGAUAAACGACGAAGGAUCAUCAGAUCGUGCUGGGUCGAGUGUGUUGCGAGCAACAGACCAUCUUUUUCAGAUGCAAAAUUAUGAGGAGAGAACGCAGCGAGCUGCUUUCUUUCAGGAAGUCAUCCUGUCAACUAUUUUCUAGGCUUGUCUGUUCUCUAUGUAAUACAACACAAUUUGGAUAUCAGGUUACUCUUAAUGGUGGAAGACACUACAGUUUGCCUUGACGUCAGUCAAAUAGGCUUGGUUACAUAUUGGCAUUGUAUGUUUGUAAUGAAUUGACUUAUAAGCAAUCAUAAUACCAGAUAAUGCAUCAGUAUUCUUUUA